GGAUCCAGACUUUGAUUAUGGCUCAGGACGAACGCUGGCGGCGCGCCUAACACAUGCAAGUCGAACGGAGAUUACAGGCGGAAGUUUUCGGAUGGAAGCUUGUAAACUUAGUGGCGGACGGGUGAGUAACACGUGAGCAACCUGCCUAUCAGAGGGGGAUAACGAUUGGAAACGAUCGCUAAUACCGCAUGACAUAGCGGAACCGCAUGGUUCUGCUAUCAAAGAUUUUAUCGCUGAUGGAUGGGCUCGCGUCCGAUUAGAUAGUUGGUGGGGUAACGGCCUACCAAGUCGACGAUCGGUAGCCGGACUGAGAGGUCGAACGGCCACAUUGGGACUGAGACACGGCCCAGACUCCUACGGGAGGCAGCAGUGGGGGAUAUUGCACAAUGGGGGAAACCCUGAUGCAGCGACGCCGCGUGAGGGAAGACGGUCCUCUGGAUUGUAAACCUCUGUCUUCGGGGACGAAAGUAGACGGUACCCGAGGAGGAAGCCACGGCUAACUACGUGCCAGCAGCCGCGGUAAUACGUAGGUGGCAAGCGUUGUCCGGAAUUACUGGGUGUAAAGGGAGCGUAGGCGGGCAGGCAAGUCAGGCGUGAAAUAUAUCGGCUCAACCGGUAACGGCGCUUGAAACUGCAGGUCUUGAGUGAAGUAGAGGUUGGCGGAAUUCCUAGUGUAGCGGUGAAAUGCGUAGAUAUUAGGAGGAACACCAGUGGCGAAGGCGGCCAACUGGGCUUUUACUGACGCUGAGGCUCGAAAGUGUGGGGAGCAAACAGGAUUAGAUACCCUGGUAGUCCACACCGUAAACGAUGAUUACUAGGUGUGGGGGGACUGACCCCUUCCGUGCCGGAGUUAACACAAUAAGUAAUCCACCUGGGGAGUACGGCCGCAAG
RNAcentral lists this ribosomal RNA (891 nucleotides) under uncultured Bacillota bacterium. RNAcentral's name for it is "bacterial SSU rRNA". It matches the Rfam family "Bacterial small subunit ribosomal RNA", at positions 1 to 892 of the family's 1533-position model. The record is from RNAcentral. Lineage: Bacteria; Bacillati; Bacillota.